AGUCUCCUAGGAACACCCAGGGAAUUAUUGAACGAAUCAAAGAGCACACAAAGGGGCCAGCUGCCAAGACUUUUCCCUGGAAAGGGUCGCUUUGGAGGCCGUGGCCAGGCGUGUUUACCUUGAUGUGGGUCAUGAAUCUUACAGCAAGAGUCGCUAGCAGGAAGGGAAAGUUUUGGAAACCGGAUGUUUCUCUGUAAAGGAGCCAGCCCUACCUGCCACGGCAGCAACUUCACAAACAAACAAGGCAUAGGCGGAAGUCAGCGAGACACCUGGCCUGAGCCUCUGUCCUUGAGAGUUCCAGACAAACUCGGCACCUAGGAGCCCAGGAGCCCACACCACCUGAAGUCCCGCCCACUUCCCGGGCCAUCGUGAAGCAGCCAAGUGUGACGUGAAGCUCAUUCCCAGUGUGCCCCCCCCCCGCAUCUGCCGCAUUAUAGGAAUCGCGUCGAUGGCUCUCAACCUUCCUAACGCUUCCAGCCUUUAACACAGCUCCUUGUGUUGUGGUGACCCCAACCAUAAAAUCAUUUUCAUUCUU
Mesocricetus auratus (golden hamster) is the source of this 535-nucleotide long non-coding RNA. RefSeq lists it as uncharacterized. Lineage: Eukaryota; Metazoa; Chordata; Mammalia; Rodentia; Cricetidae. The record is from RefSeq and is a predicted model, not a curated record. The transcript is spliced from 3 exons.